GAUGAACGCUAGCUACAGGCUUAACACAUGCAAGUCGAGGGGCAGCAUGACGAUAGCUUGCUAUUGUUGAUGGCGACCGGCGCACGGGUGAGUAACGCGUAUCCAACCUUCCCGUUGCUAGGGGAUAACCUUGCGAAAGUAAGACUAAUACCCUAUGAAGUUCUUCGCAGACAUCUAAAGAGAACGAAAGAUUUAUCGGCAACGGAUGGGGAUGCGUCUGAUUAGGUUGUUGGCGGGGUAACGGCCCACCAAGGCGACGAUCAGUAGGGGUUCUGAGAGGAAGGUCCCCCACAUUGGAACUGAGACACGGUCCAAACUCCUACGGGAGGCAGCAGUGAGGAAUAUUGGUCAAUGGGCGAGAGCCUGAACCAGCCAAGUAGCGUGCAGGAUGACGGCCCUAUGGGUUGUAAACUGCUUUUAUAAGGGAAUAAAGUGAGCCUCGUGAGACUUUUUGCAUGUACCUUAUGAAUAAGGACCGGCUAAUUCCGUGCCAGCAGCCG
Molecule: ribosomal RNA, 500 nt
Filed under: uncultured bacterium
Lineage: Bacteria
Description: bacterial SSU rRNA
Rfam family: Bacterial small subunit ribosomal RNA
Source: RNAcentral